RNAcentral lists this ribosomal RNA (505 nucleotides) under uncultured bacterium. RNAcentral's name for it is "partial 16S ribosomal RNA". It matches the Rfam family "Bacterial small subunit ribosomal RNA", at positions 28 to 507 of the family's 1533-position model. The record is from RNAcentral.
GACGAACGCUGGCGGCGUGCCUAAUACAUGCAAGUAGGACGCACAGUCUAUACCGUAGCUUGCUACACCAUAGGCUGUGAGUUGCGAACGGGUGAGUAACGCGUAGGUAACCUGCCUAUUAGAGGGGGAUAACUAUUGGAAACGAUAGCUAAUACCGCAUAACAGUAUGUAACACAUGUUAGAUGCUUGAAAGAUGCAAUUGCAUCGCUAGUAGAUGGACCUGCGUUGUAUUAGCUAGUAGGUAGGGUAAUGGCCUACCUAGGCGACGAUACAUAGCCGACCCGAGAGGGUGAUCGGCCACACUGGGACUGAGACACGGCCCAGACUCCUACGGGAGGCAGCAGUAGGGAAUCUUCGGCAAUGGGGGGAACCCUGACCGAGCAACGCCGCGUGAGUGAAGAAGGUUUUCGGAUCGUAAAGCUCUGUUGUUAAGGAAGAACGAGUGUGAGAAUGGAAAGUUCAUACUGUGACGGUACUUAACCAGAAAGGGACGGCUAACUACGUG